Molecule: ribosomal RNA, 439 nt
Filed under: uncultured bacterium
Lineage: Bacteria
Description: partial 16S ribosomal RNA
Rfam family: Bacterial small subunit ribosomal RNA
Source: RNAcentral
CUACGGGUUGCUGCAGUGAGGAAUAUUGCACAAUGGGGGGAACCCUGAUGCAGCAACGCCGCGUGGAGGAUGACGCAUUUCGGUGUGUAAACUCCUUUUAUAUGUCAAGAAAAUGACGGUAGCAUAUGAAUAAGCACCGGCUAACUCCGUGCCAGCAGCCGCGGUAAUACGGAGGGUGCAAGCGUUAUUCGGAAUCACUGGGCGUAAAGGACGCGUAGGCGGGUUGGUAAGUCUGAUGUGAAAUCCUACAGCUUAACUGUAGAACUGCAUUGGAAACUACUAACCUAGAGUAUGGGAGGGGGAGAUGGAAUUAGUGGUGUAGGGGUAAAAUCCGUAGAUAUCACUAGGAAUACCGAAAGCGAAGGCGAUCUCCUGGAACAUUACUGACGCUAAGGCGUGAAAGCGUGGGGAGCAAACGGGAUUAGAUACCCGUGUAGUC